CUGGUCGAUCAUUAAAGAAAGAAAGAUUACCUUUUGAUAAUUUAAAAAAAAAAAAAUCAGCCUUCGAGUGGAAAAAAAAUUGCUUUGGAGAACACAUGCUAGAUCCAAGCAUGUCAAAACGUGCUGAAACAAAAAUAUUGGCUAAUAUUUUUGUUUAAUAAGCUCUUCCUUCCUUCCUUAUGGAUUCCAAAUUUUAAACUGGAUUAGCCAAUCGGAAUUGUAGCGACGAUAAUUAAUAUUUUUUACUAAAUUUUCCUCAAUUGUUGGCAUUGAAGCCUUACACCUUUUAAGUCAAUUUUUACGAAAACUUAUUUUAAAGAAUAUAAAAAUAACUAAUCUAAUUAUUGGAAAAUAUUAAUAUUUAAAAAAAAGCAAAGGCUUAUGUCUGACAAUUAAAAUAACUAUUAUAUAUACACUAAAUAUUAUAAUACCACGUGUAAGAUCAUCCAUCCAUCCUUCCACAUCAGGCCUGCUGUACGGAGUUUUUGGAACUAAUUGCUACUGGAGCGCCUCCUUUCCCUUCACUGAUGUUGAGCCGGUUUUUUAUUACACCUUCCUUUGGGGGUAACCUCUUGGUCCUUACUUGUCUAUCGACUCAGACAAAUACGUGUAAGCAUGCAGGAAGAGGUCCCUGUUCGGACGCCAAUUAAUAAAUUAAUUAAUUAUUUUAUUAUUUAAAAAAGGUGUGCGUGUUGGAGUGCAACACGUCUUACUUUGUUAAUAUCAAAAACCGAACUAAUUUUAUAAAAUGCAUUUUGGUUUUAGCUUCACAUAAUAAUUCUAAAGUGCUGACGUAGUCCACCCGCCGAGUAAUGAGUGUGGGAAUGUUGAUUGUUGUCCAGUCUCAUCGACAUGUGUAAUAUGACGCUUGGAAUGUUCGUGCUGAUAUAUAUAUAUA
This is a long non-coding RNA of Musca domestica (house fly), 898 nucleotides long. RefSeq lists it as uncharacterized. NCBI's taxonomy places the organism in Eukaryota, Metazoa, Arthropoda, Insecta, Diptera, Muscidae. The transcript has 2 exons. The record is from RefSeq and is a predicted model, not a curated record.